CACGUAGGGCGCAAGCGUUGUCCGGAAUUAUUGGGCGUAAAGAGCUCGUAGGCGGCUCGUCGCGUCGACCGUGAAAACCCGCGGCUUAACUGCGGGCUUGCGGUUGAUACGGGCGGGCUAGAGUUCGGUAGGGGAGACUGGAAUUCCUGGUGUAGCGGUGAAAUGCGCAGAUAUCAGGAGGAACACCGGUGGCGAAGGCGGGUCUCUGGGCCGAUACUGACGCUGAGGAGCGAAAGCGUGGGGAGCGAACAGG
Molecule: ribosomal RNA, 253 nt
Filed under: uncultured bacterium
Lineage: Bacteria
Description: partial 16S ribosomal RNA
Rfam family: Bacterial small subunit ribosomal RNA
Source: RNAcentral